This 390-nucleotide unclassified non-coding RNA is filed under the name soil metagenome. RNAcentral describes it as "partial contains 5.8S ribosomal RNA, internal transcribed spacer 2, and large subunit ribosomal RNA". The stretch from base 1 to 122 matches the Rfam family "5.8S ribosomal RNA", at positions 35 to 154 of the family's 154-position model. The record is from RNAcentral.
GAUGAAGAACGCAGCGAAAUGCGAUACUUGGUGUGAAUUGCAGAAUCCCGCGAAUCAUCGAAUUUUUGAACGCAAGUUGCGCCCGAAGCCAUUCGGCCGAGGGCACGUCUGCCUGGGUGUCACGCAUCGUUGCCCCCCCAAACUCCGGUUCGGGCGGGGCGGAAGUUGGCCUCCCGUGCGUGCCUGCGCGCGCGGUUAGCCCAGAAGCGAGUCCUCGGCGAUGAGCGCCACGACAAUCGGUGGUUUUUUUACCCUCGUUCCUCGUCGUGCGUGCCCCGUCGCCCGAACGCGCUCUUGCAACCCUUACGCGUCGCCUCGGUGGCGCUCCCAACGCGACCCCAGGUCAGGCGGGACUACCCGCUGAGUUUAAGCAUAUCAAUAAGCGGAGGA